Long non-coding RNA from Ctenocephalides felis (cat flea), 753 nucleotides. RefSeq lists it as uncharacterized. Lineage: Eukaryota; Metazoa; Arthropoda; Insecta; Siphonaptera; Pulicidae. The record is from RefSeq and is a predicted model, not a curated record. The transcript has 4 exons.
UGUGUGUUAGCACACAUGCAAAGCAUAAUCAAUGACGUCACACGGCGUGAAGCAAACGCGUCGUGCGCUGCGUUGUGUGCGUUGUGUGCUGGUGUGUGUGACCAUACAAAGAAAGCUUUACAUCAGCGCGCCGUGGCCACUGGUGGAACCGACUGUUUCUUUGACGAAAGCUAACCUAAAACCGCGUACAAAAUGGCGCAAAAUGUCACGAAUUUAUCAUGCAUCAAGUUAUAUUUUCUUUAGUAUAAUAAUUACAUUCGUUUAGUUAAGCAACUUGUUUAUGAUAAUUGUAGAAAAGUGUAGAAAAAUGACACCUGCAUUAUAUCCUGGGAUGAAGAAACGUUAUUUUAUGUCGAUUUCUUUAGAUGACAAAGGAGGUAACCAAAUAGCAUAUCUUACAAAAUCUGAGGACAAUAAUAAGGAUCGUUUAUCAAGGUUAAAAUAAUUAUUUUACUAAAUUAAGACAUUAACAUAUCCAUGUGUUCGACAUAACCUCACUUCUUAAAUCUCUUAAAUUAGUCGGUUGAGAAGCGGAUCGAGAAUGAUUGUUUGAAUAUAAGUCGUACAAAACUGGAAUGAAACGAUGAACAAUAUACAGAUCUUUAGACAGGCUCAAAUAAUAUAUGUUUAGGAGCAAAUUGAAGAUAAUGGAGAUUUAUCUUCUUAAUAUAAAACCUCUAAAAUUGGGAACAGUAUGUCGUAUAUGCAUGAACUUGAUUGAUGUAUUGAUGUAUAAUGAACUGAAGAUAGAAU